UCCCCCCUGGUGUAAUGGCAGCACACGGGUCUUUGGAACCCAUAGUGGAGGUUCGAAUCCUCCGGGGCGCGC
This 72-nucleotide transfer RNA is filed under the name compost metagenome. RNAcentral describes it as "tRNA-Gln". It matches the Rfam family "tRNA". Rfam says of the family: Transfer RNA (tRNA) molecules are approximately 80 nucleotides in length. The record is from RNAcentral.